GGCGUGGGGGGGGGAGGAGAAGAACCUGAGCAGAAAGGAAAAGCCAUCAUGGGUUAGGUGAGCUGUGAAAAUGUAGCCCUAAGGGCUGGCCAGUUGGAGAUAAGAAGAGACCAGAUGAAAUAUAUGUGCUUUUUGUCUCCUGCUUGUGAAUUAGGCUAUGAACUCUCAGCUACUACUUCAGUGCCAUGCCUGCCUGCUUGCUCCUCUGUAAUGGUGACAGACUCCUAUACUUCUGGAAGGGAGUAGAGGUAGAAGCAGGAAACUACAAUGAUAUCAUUGAAGGGGAUUGUCUUCAAGGGCUUCUCAGCAGCACUGUCCGCAGUGUAGCAGCACGUGUUGUCCUCAAUGGCCUGAGGGUAUAAAGAGAAGACACAAAUUUCAGUGUUUCUGUCAAGCCCACAAAACAUAAAGAACUCUAAACUCUAA
Molecule: long non-coding RNA, 426 nt
Organism: Mastomys coucha (southern multimammate mouse)
Lineage: Eukaryota; Metazoa; Chordata; Mammalia; Rodentia; Muridae
Exons: 4
Source: RefSeq, a predicted model, not a curated record